AUUGAACGCUGGCGGCAGGCCUAACACAUGCAAGUCGAGCGAGCGGCGGACGGGUGAGUAAUGUAUGGGGACUGCCCGAUAGAUGGGGAUAACUACUGGAAAAGGUGGCUAAUCCCGCUUAAUCUCGGUUAACCCAUAUGUGAUUAUCGAGUAGGUGGGGGAUAGGCUCACCUAGGCGACGAUCUCUAGCUGGUCUGAGAGGAUGAUCAGCCACACUGGGACUGAGACACGGCCCAGAAUCCUACGGAGGCAGCAGGGGGGAAUAUUGCACAAUGGGCGCAAGCCUGAUCCAGCCAUGCCGCGUGUAUGAAGAAGGCCUUAGGGUUGUAAAGUACUUUCAGCGGGGAGGCGGUAUCCGCAGAAGAAGCACCGGCUAACUCCGUGCCAGCAGCCGCGGUAAUAC
RNAcentral lists this ribosomal RNA (403 nucleotides) under uncultured bacterium. RNAcentral's name for it is "partial 16S ribosomal RNA". It matches the Rfam family "Bacterial small subunit ribosomal RNA", at positions 30 to 526 of the family's 1533-position model. The record is from RNAcentral.